RNAcentral lists this ribosomal RNA (702 nucleotides) under uncultured Glomeromycotina. RNAcentral describes it as "eukaryotic LSU rRNA". It matches the Rfam family "Eukaryotic large subunit ribosomal RNA", at positions 58 to 640 of the family's 3401-position model. Lineage: Eukaryota; Fungi; Glomeromycota. The record is from RNAcentral.
AAAGAAAAUAACAAUGAUUCCCCUAGUAACGGCGAGCGAAGAGGGAAUAGCUCAAAUUUUAAAUCUGUUGGGUCUUACCUAACCGAGUUGUAAUUUGAAGAAACGUUUUCUGCGUGUUUGAUUUAGCCCAAAUCCUUUGGGAUAAGGUAUCAUGGAGGGUGAGAAUCCCGUCCGGCCUAAUCAAAUGUGCUUUACGAUACGUUUUCUAAGAGUCGAGUUGUUUGGGAUUGCAGCUCAAAAUGGGAGGUAAAUUUCUCCUAAGGCUAAAUAUAGGCGAGAGACCGAUAGCGAACAAGUACCGUGAGGGAAAGAUGAAAAGAACUUUGGAAAGAGAGUUAAACAGUACGUGAAAUUGUUGAAAGGGAAACGAUUAAAGUCAGUCGUACUAACGGGGAAUCAACCUUUUGAGGGUGGAAUUGUGGGAUUCAGAGUGCCUUUGUCUUUCACAACCUGCUUUUUUUGGGUGCACUUUCUCGUAUUGUAGGUCAGCAUCGGUUUCGACCGUUAUAAAAUGACUGGAGGAAUGUAGCUUCGAUCUCGUAUUGAAGUGUUAUAGCCUUUGGUAGAUGUAACGGAUGGGAUCGAGGAUUGCAAUUAAUACCCUCAUGGGCUAUCCGCCUGGCCUCUGACAUGUCACUCUGGUGCCGAAAGCUUGCUUAUGGUAUUAUAGUGUACGGUCAAAAGGUUAGAACGGAUUAAAUU